GGGGAUUUAGCUCAGCGGCAUAAGCACCUGCCUUACAAGCAGGCAGUCGUGGGUUUCAUCCCUGGUACCCA
Molecule: transfer RNA, 71 nt
Filed under: Cavia porcellus (domestic guinea pig)
Lineage: Eukaryota; Metazoa; Chordata; Mammalia; Rodentia; Caviidae
Rfam family: tRNA
About the family: Transfer RNA (tRNA) molecules are approximately 80 nucleotides in length. Their secondary structure includes four short double-helical elements and three loops (D, anti-codon, and T loops).
Source: Rfam by way of RNAcentral